This 443-nucleotide ribosomal RNA is filed under the name uncultured bacterium. RNAcentral describes it as "partial 16S ribosomal RNA". It matches the Rfam family "Bacterial small subunit ribosomal RNA", at positions 338 to 795 of the family's 1533-position model. The record is from RNAcentral.
CCUACGGGAGGCAGCAGUGGGGAAUAUUGGGCAAUGGGCGCAAGCCUGACCCAGCAACGCCGCGUGAAGGAAGAAGGCUUUCGGGUUGUAAACUUCUUUUGUCAGGGACGAAGCAAGUGACGGUACCUGACGAAUAAGCCACGGCUAACUACGUGCCAGCAGCCGCGGUAAUACGUAGGUGGCAAGCGUUAUCCGGAUUUACUGGGUGUAAAGGGCGUGUAGGCGGGGAGGCAAGUCAGAUGUGAAAACCACGGGCUCAACCUGUGGCCUGCCUUUGAAACUGUUUUUCUUGAGUGCUGGGGAGGCAAUCGGAAUGCCGGGUGUAGCGGUGAAAUGCGUAGAUAUACGGAGGAACACCAGUGGCGAAGGCGGAUUGCUGGACAGUAACUGACGCUGAGGCGCGAAAGCGUGGGGAGCAAACAGGAUUAGAUACCCGAGUAGUC